UAUACCCUCUUCCAUAAGCAAAAGGUACAGAAGUGUGAAAGCGCAUACCUCCAUAUUUAGGGACGGUUUCUUCCCGGCUGUUACCCCCAGGCAACUGAUCCAUCCAUCCUACCAACAACUAGAGAGUGGUUCUGAGCUACAAUCUAGCUCACUGGAGAUGAUCGGCCUAUCUUUAAUCGGACUUUGCUGGUCUUUAUCUUGCACUAAACGUUAUUCCCGUUAUCAUGUAUCUGUACACUGUGGACAGCUCGACUGUAAUCAUGUAUAGUCUUUCCGCCGACUGGUUAGCAUGCAAUAAAAAGCUUUUCAUUGUACCUCGGUACACGUGGCAAUAAACUAAACUGGUGUUGGCAGUCUGGGGCGAGGAGUGCAGUCAGUCAGCACUGAGGUAGGUGCGAGGCUCGGAGAUGUACCACAAAUGCCAGCGCAGUACACAUGACCAGCCCUGGGGACUUGGGAACACCUGCCCCGUUUGUUGACAAACCGCCUGCACGCCACAGUCCCUCUUGACGCCUGCUGUACACUUGAAUGGAAGCUGCUACCUCCUGCUGUCCUUGGAGGUGGGCAAACACCAACAUGCUGGUUGUCCCGCGUCCCGUGAGCACCAGGCUAGAGAGAGGGUCUGCACAGUCUGUCGACACCUGAACCAGACUCCACCCCGCAGCUCAGUAGCUGAACAAACACACAGCCCUCCCCCAGCCUGCAGCCUGCCCAACACCCACUCACACCAGCUGUCUCUCCACACCAUCAACGUGCAGAUCAAUACUGGAUGCCUGCCAGCUGCCUGGCGCAGCAAUGCAGUCAGUCAUGCAUGAGGCCACCACAUGGCUUUUGGGCAAUGAUUCCAUCAGCACUCUUGCUCUUGGGAUUGCGUUCUGAAUGUUAAACAAGCACUCGAUGCAGCAGGUACAUAGACGGUGUUCAUCAUAGACACAUGAAGCUGUAUGGCACAGAAACAGGCCCAUGCUGACCCAAUCGCCAAGCUGGGCUAUCCCCAAUUUCCUGCAUUUGGCCCCUAUCCCUCUAAACCAUUCCUAUCCAUAUAACUGUCCAAAUGUCUUUGAAAGCUGUAAUUGAUAAUGGACUACCCUCCAAGUGCAAACAUUGCCCCCGAGAUCCAUCUUAAAUCUCUCCCCUCUCACAAGACUAUGCCCCUUAGUUACAAGUUUGAAUCCUCCUCUGCCUUGGGUAAGAGACUGUGUGUUCACUUUAUCCAUGCCCCUCAAGAAGGUCACCCCUCAGCCUCCUGUUAGGCUCGUGAUUCCAGCAUCUGCAGUUCCUUGUAACUCCUUAAAGGUGCACAUCAAAAAUAAUCUUGAUGGAGGCAGUCAACAUAAUCACAGUGUGUGUGCACGUCCCUGUCUCUCUCUCCCCCUCGCUCCAUCUCCACCUCCCUCCAUCUGUGUAUAGAGGAGAAUUCUAGGAAUUAAAUUGUAACUGAGGGGCAAGAUGAACAUAUCUAUGAUAAAGGAAUCAGUGGUGGAUUCUUCAAUAACGGGUUUGCAGGCCUUCAUUCUUCAUCUGAAGAAGAAUGCCGGCCCGAGACGUCAACCAUCAAUGUUCUCCAGAGAUGUUCCCUGACCCGCUGAGUUCCUCCAGCACUUUGCGUCCUACAUUAUUCUUCCUGGUUAUGCAUUUCACGAUUCGAAAUAUCCCUACAUCCAGUCAUGUCCCAAAUAACCGAGUAAAAUCUCAAGAAGCCUCAGGACACUUUAGACAAAUCUAACUGUCUCACAUACUUUUCUUUCCCUCAAAAGCAAAAAGCCAGCACUGAAUUCAAUUAAUAUUUUAUAACUGGCAAACAAUGCACAAGUGAUAUUGUAUGUGACAGCAGAAUAUAAUAACCGCACUGGCGUGCAGCCCAUUCCCACUCGCGCCUUGUGUCCGUGUGGGCAGCCCAGAUCAUUAAUCACAUCCUGUGGCUGCAACUAAAUUUGGAUAUUUUCAGCUGAGCGAGGAAAGUGAAAGCAAUUUUUAAGCUUCAAAAACAUCUGAUGCUGCCCAUCCUAAUGUGUGCUUCAGACAAAAUGUGUGUAGGAUCUGCAGAUUCUCGUUUUAAUCAAAGAAAGACACAGAAAGCUGGAGGAACUCAUCAGGUCAGGCACCAUCUCUGGAGGAAAGGAACAGGUGACGUUUUGGCCCGAGACCCUUCUUCAGACUCAGGGGAAAGGGAAAUUAGUUUCACUGUUAUCCUGUUGAGUUUCAGUGCCUUUUUAACUCGUUAUCACCUAUCCCACAGCCAAUAAAGUACCAUUGUGAGCUC
Long non-coding RNA from Leucoraja erinaceus (little skate), 2263 nucleotides. RefSeq lists it as uncharacterized. The transcript is spliced from 2 exons. The record is from RefSeq and is a predicted model, not a curated record. Lineage: Eukaryota; Metazoa; Chordata; Chondrichthyes; Rajiformes; Rajidae.